UUGAAAGUAUUACAUAUGUCCCUUUUUUUCCUCCAUUGAACUCUUCUAGCCCACCUUUACCCCCUGUCCCAGGUCUUCA
Myotis brandtii (Brandt's bat) is the source of this 79-nucleotide long non-coding RNA. RefSeq lists it as uncharacterized. The transcript has 3 exons. Lineage: Eukaryota; Metazoa; Chordata; Mammalia; Chiroptera; Vespertilionidae. The record is from RefSeq and is a predicted model, not a curated record.